UAGCGCCUCCCCGGCCGUUCGGGGCCCUGCGUCGCCAUCUGGUGGCCUUGCCGGCAAAACGCGCCCGCAGGGAGGGGACGAAACGGGGCCCGUGGGGAGGGGGGAGGCGGGGUGGCCGCCACGGCCUUCGUCCCCGUCCCAUUACCCCCGGGACGCCCCCAUCCCAUUAGCCCCCCGGGACCCCGGAUCCUGGUCCUGUUGGUCCCGAGGGUUUCUCGUCCGACGAAGCCGCGUUAGGAGGAUUCACGGGACCCGAGCGGGCGUUCGUUUCCGCUGCUGUCGAUUCUCCGGGGCGGACGGAGGGGACCCCGCGGAGACGCAGGAUCGGGCCCCAGCGGCACAGGGCCCGUCUCAUUCUGUCAGCAGAGAGCGGCGGUGCCCAGGGCGCUGGAGCCGCGAGGCCGCUGGGUCCCGGGGUCCCGGGGCCGCCCCGGGAAAGGAGGCUGCGGGGACACGUGGGGCGGGAACGGCCGAAGGCGCCUCAGCUGCUCCUGGGAAAACCAACCCGAAACAAAUCGAAGGACCCCAGGACUGGUCAGGCAGGUCAGGGCCCGGGGGGCGCCCAGGGGAGCAAGGAGGGGCCGGUGCGCACCCCAGGGAGGGCGGGAGGGCGGGUCAGGGCCGGGCCUGGGGGCCGCGGGGACCCAGGACGGGGCCUGGCUCGGGUGAACGUCCGACCUCCCGCCGCCUCCGCGCGGCCUCCCGGGGCCCCAGGCCGGUGCCGCCUCGCAGCGAGGGGCGCGGGGGCUCGGGCGCGGCAGACACGCGGGCGGCGCCCACCCCCGUCCCCCGACCUGCUCGGCUGCCCGCGUGGCGGCCCCAGAAGCCGCUCCCCCGUGGAGGGCCGCUCAGGGCCCCUCCGCACGGACCCGCGGGGCUCAGGGGUCUCGGCUGAACGCACUCGGCGCGGCGGGGGCUGCAGGUCACACUCGCGGGCAGGCGGAACCCCCGCCCCAGCCCCGCGUUUGCCCGUGGCCCGGCCCCGGCACAGGCUGCAUCUCCCGUGACCCCGGCCUCCUUUCCGAGGUCGCGGCCGUUCCUGACCCGGACGCAGCAGGUGCUUCUCCUGACGGCCAGGAAGAGACUCAGGCGCCCCCGACCCGUGCGCACGGGCGCCCCGCGGGCCUGCUGACCCAGGGCUGGGGUCCCGGCCUUGUCUCACUCUGCUGCCUGGAUCCAGGAGUCAGCCCCACCCUAGGACAACCCCGUUUUCCUGGGGGCCCAACAGGACACGGAGGGGAUUCGGAAAAAGAAAGUUACUACCGAAACUCAUGCAAGGAGAAAUGGAUCAACUGAAUAGGCCUGGAUCAAAGAAACUGAAUUAUCUGGGCACAGUGGCACACUUCCAUAGUCCCAGUUACUUCACAGGCCGAGGCGGGAGAAUCACUUGAGCCCAGAAGUUCAAGUCCAGCCUGGACAACAGAGAUACCCCAUUUCUUUAAAAAAAAAAAAAAAAAAGGUGGGGGGAAGAAAUUAAGUAUGUAAAUAAUAAUCUUCCAAACAAGAAAUAAGCAGAUGGUUCCACUGGUGAAUUCUACCAAACAUUUAAGGGGAGAAAUGAUACCAAUUCUCUACAAUUCUUCUAGAAAAUAGAAACAGCAAAAACACUUCCUAACUCACCCUGAGGCCAGCAUUACACUAACAAAACCAAAACUAGAUAAAGACAGAAAAAAGGAAGAUGCAUAUCAGUGUCUCUCGUGAGCAUCAAUGCAAAACCUUGAAAUAAUGUUAACAAAUCGAAUGCAACAAUGUUUAAAAGGAGUCAUACAUAACUACCAAGGGGAUUUACUCCAGGUGUGCAAGCCUGGCUCAACAUUUGAAAAUCAAUUAAUGUCAUCCAUUUCAUUAAUGGGUUUCUGCAUCAGUUGAUAAGAUCCUGUGAUUUUCUUUGCUUCAUCCCCAGAUGAAGGAUCAGUUGCUGCAGAAAAAGCAGCAGAUGCAAUUCAGUACUCAUUUAUGAUUAAAACUCUCAAAAAACUAGAAAUAAAAGAAAAUUUCUUCAACUUGAUAAAGGUCAUCUACCAAAAAAUGUGCAACCAACAUCGCACUUAAUGGUGAGGCUGUAGAUACUGUCUCCUGAGAUAAAGAGGAAGGCAAGGCCAUCCCUCUCACCGUUCCUAAUCGGCAUUGCACUGGAAACCCAGGUCGAUGACAUAAUACAGGAAAAGGAAUCAAAUGUAUAUAGGUUGGGAAGGAAGAAGUAAAACUGUCUUUGUUCACAGAUGACUAUCUGUGUAGGAAAUCCCAAGUAAUUAACUGAAAACUCCUGGAACUAGUAAGUCAUUAUAAGGAGACUGCAGGAUACAAAGUUAAUACACAAAAGUCAGUUGCUUCCUGUGUGCUAGCAAUGAACAAUGGGAAUUCAGCAUUUAAAACUCAAUGCAAAUGACUUACUAUAGCUUGCCUUGAGAAAAAAAACAUUUAAAUAAAAACGCAAUGCAUGUACGUUAGCACAAUAAAAGUGAAGUACCCAGGUAGAAAUGUAACAAAAUAUGUACAGGAACUACAUGAGAACAGCUACAAAACUGAUGAAAGAAGCCGAAGAUCUAAAUAAAUGGUGAGAUCGUUGGUGCUGGCUGACAGAAAUUUAAUAUGGUUAGGAUAUCAGUUCUUCCCAACUUGAUCUAUAGAUUGAAUACAAUCCAAAUCAAAAUUCCAGCAAGUUGUUUUCUGGCUAUUGAGAAACCGAUUCCAAAGUUUAUGUGAAAACUCAAACACUCAGAAUAGCCGACACCAUACUAAAAAAUAAAUAACAGAGAACUGACUUACUGUAAAGCUAUAGUAAUCAAAACAGCCUGGCAUCAACAAAAGAACAGACAAACAGAUCAAUGUAACAGAACUGGGAGCCCAGAAAUAGGUCCAUGCAAAUAUAGCCAACUGAUCUUUGAGAAAAGAAUAAAGGAAAUUCAAUAAAGAAUGAUCAUCUUUUCCACAAAUUGUGGUGGAAAAAUUGGACAUCCAUAUACAGAAAAGUGAAUCUAGACACAGACUUUACACCUAUCACAAAACUUAACAUGGAUCACAGAUGUAAAUGUAAAAUGCAAAACUAUAGAACUGGAUGACAACACGCAAGGCGAUUUAGGUGAGCUUGGAUUUAGCAAUGAGAUUUUUAUAUACAUCAUGAACUUCCAUGAAAGAAAACUAGUUGGCCUUUAUAAAAAUUAAAAAUUUGGUUCUGCGAAGCACGCUGUUAAGACAA
This is a long non-coding RNA of Cebus imitator (Panamanian white-faced capuchin), 3199 nucleotides long. RefSeq lists it as uncharacterized. The record is from RefSeq and is a predicted model, not a curated record. NCBI's taxonomy places the organism in Eukaryota, Metazoa, Chordata, Mammalia, Primates, Cebidae. The transcript is spliced from 2 exons.